UGGUGGUGCACGCUUGUAAUCAAUCCUACCU
Molecule: non-coding RNA, 31 nt
Filed under: Rattus norvegicus (Norway rat)
Lineage: Eukaryota; Metazoa; Chordata; Mammalia; Rodentia; Muridae
Source: RNAcentral